UGUUUCUUUAAUUUUACAUUUAUUUCCACAGACUCCACAGAAUGAGAGUCACAUUUGUGUCAAUCAGACUCUUCUGGAACGUUCUGAUGUCCGUGAUGAGGACAGAGAUGCAACUGUGUCUGCAUCCAGGACCUACUGCCAGUCAUCCAGAUGUAGCUAAAGAAAGAAGCAGCUGCUGGAGGCGAGGGAGAGCGUCCUGGCAGCAGAGGAGAUUUCCUUUUGGGAAGGUGUCACCAUUGACCUCAUGUCUGAUGAAG
Molecule: long non-coding RNA, 257 nt
Organism: Poecilia reticulata (guppy)
Lineage: Eukaryota; Metazoa; Chordata; Actinopteri; Cyprinodontiformes; Poeciliidae
Source: RefSeq, a predicted model, not a curated record